GGGUUGUGAGGUUAAGCGACUAAGCGUACACGGUGGAUGCCCUGGCAGUCAGAGGCGAUGAAGGACGUGCUAAUCUGCGAUAAGCGUCGGUAAGGUGAUAUGAACCGUUAUAACCGGCGAUUUCCGAAUGGGGAAACCCAGUGUGAUUCGUCACACUAUCAUUAACUGAAUCCAUAGGUUAAUGAGGCGAACCGGGGGAACUGAAACAUCUAAGUACCCCGAGGAAAAGAAAUCAACCGAGAUUCCCCCAGUAGCGGCGAGCGAACGGGGAGCAGCCCAGAGCCUGAAUCAGUGUGUGUGUUAGUGGAAGCGUCUGGAAAGGCGUGCGAUACAGGGUGACAGCCCCGUACACAAAAAUGCACAUGCUGUGAGCUCGAUGAGUAGGGCGGGACACGUGGUAUCCUGUCUGAAUAUGGGGGGACCAUCCUCCAAGGCUAAAUACUCCUGACUGACCGAUAGUGAACCAGUACCGUGAGGGAAAGGCGAAAAGAACCCCGGCGAGGGGAGUGAAAAAGAACCUGAAACCGUGUACGUACAAGCAGUGGGAGCACAGAGCAAUCUGUGUGACUGCGUACCUUUUGUAUAAUGGGUCAGCGACUUAUAUUCUGUAGCAAGGUUAACCGAAUAGGGGAGCCGAAGGGAAACCGAGUCUUAACUGGGCGUUAAGUUGCAGGGUAUAGACCCGAAACCCGGUGAUCUAGCCAUGGGCAGGUUGAAGGUUGGGUAACACUAACUGGAGGACCGAACCGACUAAUGUUGAAAAAUUAGCGGAUGACUUGUGGCUGGGGGUGAAAGGCCAAUCAAACCGGGAGAUAGCUGGUUCUCCCCGAAAGCUAUUUAGGUAGCGCCUCGUGAAUUCAUCUCCGGGGGUAGAGCACUGUUUCGGCAAGGGGGUCAUCCCGACUUACCAACCCGAUGCAAACUGCGAAUACCGGAGAAUGUUAUCACGGGAGACACACGGCGGGUGCUAACGUCCGUCGUGAAGAGGGAAACAACCCAGACCGCCAGCUAAGGUCCCAAAGUCAUGGUUAAGUGGGAAACGAUGUGGGAAGGCCCAGACAGCCAGGAUGUUGGCUUAGAAGCAGCCAUCAUUUAAAGAAAGCGUAAUAGCUCACUGGUCGAGUCGGCCUGCGCGGAAGAUGUAACGGGGCUAAACCAUGCACCGAAGCUGCGGCAGCGACACUAUGUGUUGUUGGGUAGGGGAGCGUUCUGUAAGCCUGUGAAGGUGUACUGUGAGGUAUGCUGGAGGUAUCAGAAGUGCGAAUGCUGACAUAAGUAACGAUAAAGCGGGUGAAAAGCCCGCUCGCCGGAAGACCAAGGGUUCCUGUCCAACGUUAAUCGGGGCAGGGUGAGUCGACCCCUAAGGCGAGGUCGAAAGGCGUAGUCGAUGGGAAACAGGUUAAUAUUCCUGUACUUGGUGUUACUGCGAAGGGGGGACGGAGAAGGCUAUGUUGGCCGGGCGACGGUUGUCCCGGUUUAAGCGUGUAGGCUGGUUUUCCAGGCAAAUCCGGAAAAUCAAGGCUGAGGCGUGAUGACGAGGCACUACGGUGCUGAAGCAACAAAUGCCCUGCUUCCAGGAAAAGCCUCUAAGCAUCAGGUAACAUCAAAUCGUACCCCAAACCGACACAGGUGGUCAGGUAGAGAAUACCAAGGCGCUUGAGAGAACUCGGGUGAAGGAACUAGGCAAAAUGGUGCCGUAACUUCGGGAGAAGGCACGCUGAUAUGUAGGUGAAGUCCCUCGCGGAUGGAGCUGAAAUCAGUCGAAGAUACCAGCUGGCUGCAACUGUUUAUUAAAAACACAGCACUGUGCAAACACGAAAGUGGACGUAUACGGUGUGACGCCUGCCCGGUGCCGGAAGGUUAAUUGAUGGGGUCAGCGCAAGCGAAGCUCUUGAUCGAAGCCCCGGUAAACGGCGGCCGUAACUAUAACGGUCCUAAGGUAGCGAAAUUCCUUGUCGGGUAAGUUCCGACCUGCACGAAUGGCGUAAUGAUGGCCAGGCUGUCUCCACCCGAGACUCAGUGAAAUUGAACUCGCUGUGAAGAUGCAGUGUACCCGCGGCAAGACGGAAAGACCCCGUGAACCUUUACUAUAGCUUGACACUGAACAUUGAGCCUUGAUGUGUAGGAUAGGUGGGAGGCUUUGAAGUGUGGACGCCAGUCUGCAUGGAGCCGACCUUGAAAUACCACCCUUUAAUGUUUGAUGUUCUAACGUUGACCCGUGAUCCGGGUUGCGGACAGUGUCUGGUGGGUAGUUUGACUGGGGCGGUCUCCUCCUAAAGAGUAACGGAGGAGCACGAAGGUUGGCUAAUCCUGGUCGGACAUCAGGAGGUUAGUGCAAUGGCAUAAGCCAGCUUGACUGCGAGCGUGACGGCGCGAGCAGGUGCGAAAGCAGGUCAUAGUGAUCCGGUGGUUCUGAAUGGAAGGGCCAUCGCUCAACGGAUAAAAGGUACUCCGGGGAUAACAGGCUGAUACCGCCCAAGAGUUCAUAUCGACGGCGGUGUUUGGCACCUCGAUGUCGGCUCAUCACAUCCUGGGGCUGAAGUAGGUCCCAAGGGUAUGGCUGUUCGCCAUUUAAAGUGGUACGCGAGCUGGGUUUAGAACGUCGUGAGACAGUUCGGUCCCUAUCUGCCGUGGGCGCUGGAGAACUGAGGGGGGCUGCUCCUAGUACGAGAGGACCGGAGUGGACGCAUCACUGGUGUUCGGGUUGUCAUGCCAAUGGCACUGCCCGGUAGCUAAAUGCGGAAGAGAUAAGUGCUGAAAGCAUCUAAGCACGAAACUUGCCCCGAGAUGAGUUCUCCCUGACUCCUUGAGAGUCCUGAAGGAACGUUGAAGACGACGACGUUGAUAGGCCGGGUGUGUAAGCGCAGCGAUGCGUUGAGCUAACCGGUACUAAUGAACCGUGAGGCUUAACCUUACAACGCCGAAG
Molecule: ribosomal RNA, 2926 nt
Filed under: Escherichia coli
Lineage: Bacteria; Pseudomonadati; Pseudomonadota; Gammaproteobacteria; Enterobacterales; Enterobacteriaceae
Description: bacterial LSU rRNA
Rfam family: Bacterial large subunit ribosomal RNA
Source: RNAcentral